GGAGGCAGCAGUGAGGAAUUUUGCGCAAUGGGGGCAACCCUGACGCAGCAACGCCGCGUGAGUGAAGAAGGCCUUUGGGUCGUAAAGCUCUGUCAACAGGGAAGAAAUUAUAAUUGUUUAAUAGAUGAUUGUAUUGACGGUACCUGUGGAGGAAGCGCCGGCUAACUCCGUGCCAGCAGCCGCGGUAACACGGGGGGCGCAAGCGUUAUUCGGAAUUAUUGGGCGUAAAGGGCGCGCAGGCGGUCUUGUCCGUCAGGUGUGAAAGCUCGGGGCUCAACCCCGGAAGUGCACUUGAAACAGCAAGACUUGAAUACGGGAGAGGAAAGCGGAAUUCCUGGUGUAGAGGUGAAAUUCGUAGAUAUCAGGAGGAACACCGAUGGCGAAGGCAGCUUUCUGGACCGAUAUUGACGCUGAGGCGCGAAGGCGUGGGUAGCGAACGGGAUUAGAUACCCCGGUAGUCCACGCAGUAAACGUUGUACACUCGGUGUGGCGGAUAUUAAAAUCUGCUGUGCCUAAGCUAACGCAUUAAG
Molecule: ribosomal RNA, 530 nt
Filed under: uncultured bacterium
Lineage: Bacteria
Description: bacterial SSU rRNA
Rfam family: Bacterial small subunit ribosomal RNA
Source: RNAcentral